This 467-nucleotide ribosomal RNA is filed under the name uncultured bacterium. Its description in RNAcentral is "partial 16S ribosomal RNA". It matches the Rfam family "Bacterial small subunit ribosomal RNA", at positions 28 to 506 of the family's 1533-position model. The record is from RNAcentral.
GACGAACGCUGGCGGCGUGCUUAACACAUGCAAGUCGAACGGAAAGGCCCUGCUUUUGUGGGGUGCUCGAGUGGCGAACGGGUGAGUAACACGUGGGUAACCUGCCCUUGACUUUGGGAUAACUUCAGGAAACUGGGGCUAAUACCGGAUAGGAGCUCCUGCUGCAUGGUGGGGGUUGGAAAGUUUCGGCGGUUGGGGAUGGACUCGCGGCUUAUCAGCUUGUUGGUGGGGUAGUGGCUUACCAAGGCUUUGACGGGUAGCCGGCCUGAGAGGGUGACCGGCCACAUUGGGACUGAGAUACGGCCCAGACUCCUACGGGAGGCAGCAGUGGGGAAUAUUGCACAAUGGGCGGAAGCAUGAUGCAGCAACGCCGCGUGCGGGAUGACGGCCUUCGGGUUGUAAACCGCUUUCGCCUGUGACGAAGCGUGAGUGACGGUAAUGGGUAAAGAAGCACCGGCUAACUACGU